GCCAAAUUCUGAAUUUAUAUGUGCCAAAUUCUGAAAUUUGAUAGAAAUUUUGAUUUAAUCAAUUUCAUUGUUACAAAUUGCUCCCCCUUUUUGUUGCUUUAUCUAAUCUACACAAAAUCUUUACUUCUCACCUAAAUAAAUACUCUUUCUUUACUUCUCCCCCUUUUUGUUAUCAUCAAAAAGAUACAUGGGAAAGAUGCAAUAAACAACAAACUUCAAACUUCAUUGAUCAAAAUAGGAACAUUUUCAUACAUUCAUGUCCUAAAACAAAAAAAACAGAUACAAUGUUCCUUAAUCAAGAUUUAAAGAUACAUGAUAAAAGCAAGAUACAUAUGAGAACUAGAUAUCUAGCCUAGGCUCUAAACAUAGAUGCUAAGAUCAGCCUAGGGAGACUCUAACGGCUGGGAUCUAGUCCUCAUCCUCCUAGUGUACGUGGCGAGGGGAGGUCAAGCCUGGUGGGACUGUGUCUGGCGUGGAGCACGACGAGCUGGAUGACUCUGUGCCGAAAUCUCUGACUCAGCAGCCUGUGGCACA
RNAcentral lists this long non-coding RNA (534 nucleotides) under Phoenix dactylifera (date palm). RNAcentral's name for it is "long non-coding RNA (PDAC_LNC010207)". The record is from RNAcentral. Lineage: Eukaryota; Viridiplantae; Streptophyta; Magnoliopsida; Arecales; Arecaceae.